This 272-nucleotide long non-coding RNA is filed under the name Musa acuminata (dwarf banana). RNAcentral's name for it is "long non-coding RNA (MACU_LNC008607)". The record is from RNAcentral. Lineage: Eukaryota; Viridiplantae; Streptophyta; Magnoliopsida; Zingiberales; Musaceae.
CCUCUUCUUCUAUCGGUUCAAUCAUAAGAAGUCCCUCUUUACUACAGCGAUGCUCAUGGCUCCACGGCUCGUCACAAUGCCAACAUAACCCCUUCGCAUAUCGCUCCCGAAGCUCUUCUCUUGUUAACCUCUUUGGUGUAGGGACUUGGUCGACAGUAGGAGGGGCUGAGGGCUUCAAUAUUACUGGUUGAGGAGUGACCCUAGUCCUCCGAGCUUCAUGGUUCAAUUGCUCCUCUUGAUGUCGUGUGAAAGAGAUGGCUGCCAUAAGCGUA